GGGUCAGUAGGUUGGUCGUGCCACCGGUACGUACUGGUCUCACUGAUUCCUCCCUCCUGAAGAACCGUAAUGCCAUUAAUUUGGUGUUGCGGGGAAACAGGACUGUUACUUUGAAAAAAUUAGAGUGUUUAACGCAAGCUAACGCUUGAAUACAUUAGCAUGGAAUAAUGAAAUAGGACGAUCGAUCCUAUUUUGUUGGUUUCUAGGAUUGACGUA
Molecule: ribosomal RNA, 216 nt
Filed under: Glomeromycotina sp.
Lineage: Eukaryota; Fungi; Glomeromycota
Description: partial small subunit ribosomal RNA
Rfam family: Eukaryotic small subunit ribosomal RNA (bases 75-216)
Source: RNAcentral